RNAcentral lists this ribosomal RNA (486 nucleotides) under uncultured bacterium. RNAcentral's name for it is "partial 16S ribosomal RNA". It matches the Rfam family "Bacterial small subunit ribosomal RNA", at positions 30 to 507 of the family's 1533-position model. The record is from RNAcentral.
AUUGAACGCUGGCGGCAUGCCUUACACAUGCAAGUCGAACGGCAGCACGGGUGCUUGCACCUGGUGGCGAGUGGCGAACGGGUGAGUAAUACAUCGGAACAUGUCCUGUAGUGGGGGAUAGCCCGGCGAAAGCCGGAUUAAUACCGCAUACGAUCCACGGAUGAAAGCGGGGGACCUUCGGGCCUCGCGCUAUAGGGUUGGCCGAUGGCGGAUUAGCUAGUUGGUGGGGUAAAGGCCUACCAAGGCGACGAUCAGUAGCUGGUCUGAGAGGACGACCAGCCACCCUGGGACUUAGACACGGCCCAGACUCCUACGGGAGGCAGCAGUGGGGAAUGUUGGACAAUGGGCGAAAGCCUGAUCCAGCAAUGCCGCGUGUGUGAAGAAGGCCUUCGGGUUGUAAAGCCCUUUUGUCCGGAAAGAAAUCCUUGACUCUAAUACAGUCGGGGGAUGACGGUACCGGAGGAAUAAGCACCGGCUAACUACGUG